GGGCCCGCACAAGCGGCGGAGCAUGCGGAUUAAUUCGAUGCAACGCGAAGAACCUUACCAAGGCUUGACAUGGACCGGACCGGGCUGGAAACAGUCCUUCCCCUUUGGGGCCGGUUCACAGGUGGUGCAUGGUUGUCGUCAGCUCGUGUCGUGAGAUGUUGGGUUAAGUCCCGCAACGAGCGCAACCCUCGUUCCAUGUUGCCAGCGCGUAAUGGCGGGGACUCAUGGGAGACUGCCGGGGUCAACUCGGAGGAAGGUGGGGACGACGUCAAAUCAUCAUGCCCCUUAUGUCUUGGGCUUCACGCAUGCUACAAUGGCCGGUACAAAGGGUUGCGAUACUGUGAGGUGGAGCUAAUCCCAAAAAGCCGGUCUCAGUUCGGAUUGGGGUCUGCAACUCGACCCCAUGAAGUCGGAGUCGCUAGUAAUCGCAGAUCAGCAACGCUGCGGUGAAUACGUUCCCGGGCCUUGUACACACCGCCCGUCAAGUCACGAAAGUUGGUAACACCCGAAGCCGGUGGCCUAACCCCUUGUGGGAGGGAGCUGUCGAAGGUGGGACUGGCGAUUGGGACU
RNAcentral lists this ribosomal RNA (570 nucleotides) under uncultured bacterium. RNAcentral's name for it is "bacterial SSU rRNA". It matches the Rfam family "Bacterial small subunit ribosomal RNA", at positions 917 to 1482 of the family's 1533-position model. The record is from RNAcentral.